This 539-nucleotide ribosomal RNA is filed under the name uncultured bacterium. RNAcentral's name for it is "bacterial SSU rRNA". It matches the Rfam family "Bacterial small subunit ribosomal RNA", at positions 778 to 1315 of the family's 1533-position model. The record is from RNAcentral.
AAUGAUACCCGGUAGUCCACCCCGUAAACGUUGGGAACUAGUUGUGGGGUCCAUUCCACGGAUUCCGUGACGCAGCUAACGCAUUAAGUUCCCCGCCUGGGGAGUACGGCCGCAAGGCUAAAACUCAAAGGAAUUGACGGGGACCCGCACAAGCGGCGGAGCAUGCGGAUUAAUUCGAUGCAACGCGAAGAACCUUACCAAGGCUUGACAUAUACGAGAACACUUCAGAAAUGAAGGACUCUUUGGACACUCGUAUACAGGUGGUGCAUGGUUGUCGUCAGCUCGUGUCGUGAGAUGUUGGGUUAAGUCCCGCAACGAGCGCAACCCUCGUUCUAUGUUGCCAGCACGUUAUGGUGGGAACUCAUGGGAUACCGCCGGGGUCAACUCGGAGGAAGGUGGGGAUGACGUCAAAUCGAUCAUGCCCCUUAUGUCUUGGGCUUCACGCAUGCUACAAUGGCCGGUACAAAGGGCUGCAAUACCGUGAGGUGGAGCGAAUCCCAAAAAGCCGGUCCCAGUUCGGAUUGAGGUCUGCAACUCGA